CCGGUAUAGGAUGUUUAGAGGAAGUUGCAGUAAGAUAAGUGUGUCCUUUACAUACUGUAUCUUUCAGACCUUAGCAGUCUGCUGACUCCAGCUUUCAGCAGAGCAGAAACAAUGCUUUGGGAAGACUUAAAACAACUUUGAAUAAGAACCUGCUUGAGAAAGAUUUGCCUUACAAGCUAAAUGUUACAUUUCCACUCAACAGAAAGGUACUGCUGUGUGGCCGUAAAAAGCCGGCCAAAACCCUGUAACCUUUGCAGUUAGUCAUGUUAUUUUUGGUUCAUGCCAACAUGGAUCACAGCUGUGACUCAACAGAGCCACUGAAGCAAGAAUUCAAAGAGUUUAAAGAACAGCAAACUCAGAAAUGACUUUUUUUUUUCUUAUGGUGUCAUUACGCAACAUUUCUUGCAGUUUACCUUUUCUAAUUUACCAACUCCGUACAGAUGAGCUCAGUCGGUGUUUGGCAAAUGAAAACCUGAGCUGCGUCAGCACACUUCCCCAAAUCCCACUGCAGGCGGAGGGUGAUGGAGCUUUCCCUUCUGGGAUGUUUGUUUUACUGAGAAGAUGGCGGUCUGUGAACCAGGAAGCAGGUCCUUGCCAGACACCGAGGCCUCCGCUUGUGCCCUGAUCUUGGACCUCCCACCCUCCAGAACUAGACGGGGUCUCCCUGUGUUGCCCAGCCUGACUUUGAACUCCUGGGCUUAAGCUGUCCUCCCACCUCAGCCUCCUAAAGUGUUGGGAUUACAGGCCUGAGCCACCAUGCUUGGCCUGAAGAGACGAUCUUGAAAGUGGAGCAUACUAAAGUAUCUGCGCACACUAAUGAAAGUCAUUCAUCAGUGAAAGAGAGAUUGAUGAUGGUGGUGGUAGGUAAGAGAAAGAAUCUCACAGACAUACACUGUCAGCUAAUCAAAGAAGGAAAGCCGUGGGCAGUCACAAGAACAUGUGGCCAGAAUGCAUGCGGAGCAUUUUAUACUGUUUCAUGCUGCUCCUGGGAUAAGAGAGACACUUCCGUUGUGGUAACAAGAGGGAAAGGCGGAGAAGAUGGGUUUACAGAUUUGGUUUGGGAGGAUGAAGACAUUUCAUUCUAAUUGGUGGUUUUUUUCUCCUCCUUUAGGAAGCAUGAAGUGGGGUCAGAGUGAAGGGCAAGAGGAGAGCUGGGGUUGGGCAGACUGAGGCUGUCUGGAGAGAUGAUAUGGCCUUAGUGUGGAGACGAAGAGAAAGCUUGCUAGGCAGUGUCCUUGGAAAUGGGUGAGGAUGAUCUUGACACGAGUCCCCGUGCUGGGUAUUUUUCCUCAGCAGCAUUUAGCUGUGCAGUGUGUGGGGUUCAUCUAGUUUUGGAAGACUGUUGGAAGAGUUAUUGGUUGAUUCAGAUGAUUAAUAACUGAGUUGGGCAUGCUUUCCAAAAUACUUACGAUUUCUAUCAAAAUAUUCAAAGUGAAUAUGAUGUCACAAGGGGAACCCCUGAAAUCCAUGGCACUUCCACAGCACUGACACGGCCUUCCCAGCUUCUGUAUUUCUUUUGUUGGCAGCAAAGGCAGAGAUGGAGACAAAGAACUGGAAUUUAGACAUUGGAGAUUUCGUUUCUGGCUGCUACAUUCCAGUGCAGUGUUACAUAGUUCAGAAGGCUGGUAAGUAAAGUACAGUGAGUCCCAUGACCAGUUUAGAAGUGUGCCUCUCUGGAACUCACCGUCAUCUCAGAGCACAGAACUGCAGGAAGCUCACGGAGUCACUUUCAGGUCACUUCUCGGAGUUAAAGUGGAACCAUCUGUCCACCCCUUGCCCACACACCUUCCUUCCUUGACCCUGUACCCCUCCGGUUUUCUUAUCUCUUUCUUUCCUUCACAGCAGGCCUUCUACUUCUUCGGCCUCUCUUUCUUCCCUUUCCGUGAACUCUUCGGCGCCUUAAAUGCCAGCAUCUACCUCUCUGCAGCUGCACUCCCCAGGCUCUCAAAUGACCUUCUGGUGGCUAUAGCCGGUGGAAACUCUCCAACUGCCAUCUUACUUGAUUUGUCCUGUAUUAUUUCCACUGUGCUGUCUCCUGCUUAGUGAAUUCUAUGGGCUUAUUCUCUCCUUAGUUUCCC
RNAcentral lists this long non-coding RNA (2078 nucleotides) under Papio anubis (olive baboon). Its description in RNAcentral is "lncRNA (ENSPANG00000047100.1)". Lineage: Eukaryota; Metazoa; Chordata; Mammalia; Primates; Cercopithecidae. The record is from RNAcentral.